UUAAUUGGGUGGGCAUAAUUUGAAUUUGAAAUAUAUAAAUUUUUCAUAGGGCACUCCUUGAAGACAUCACACUCAUUAAGUUGGGGUUUGAAGGUUGGUAUUCACUAAGGGAAAAGCCAAACUUCAAGGCGACUUAAACCACAGGUUUCCACUGUUACGGAUCUUAGAAUUCUAGAUUCUGCUGUAACCUCGAUAUAACAGGGAGGUCCUGCAGCCCUGAUCACUAUCCACAGAUUAAGUCAAAACAAAACAGAGCAUAAAUGUGACUACAAACCAUGAGGGAUUAUGAAAAUCCUUACUGCAGAUUUCCCCGAGGGAGCUAAUCUAGCAGCCAAAAUGACACGGUGUGCCAUACCCAAAGAUUCCUAAAAGUCAUUUUCCCUAAAACGUCGCUAUCUCUCACCCUGAACCUCCCAUUACCCUCACCAUCCUGCUGCUCUGUUUUCCACUCUGUCCCCGGCCUAACACUCUUUAAACCCUGGAAACCCUACCCCUGACUACGUGCGCACCCUAAACUGGUGUGGGCUAGUUUCUACUAUGAAUGUUUUUGUAGACACUGCUAGAAUUCACUACAACCUCCUUCACACAGACAUGCAGAAUUCUGGAGAAUUAAUUCUCCACUGAUCACCCCCCGUUUAAAAUUUUUCAGUUUUAUGUAUCAUUUCCCAAACUAAAGCAUAAGAGAUUUGAUGGCAGAGACUAAUUUAUAAUUUUUCAAUUUUCAGCCCAAUUGGGACCCCUCCCAGGCCAAAUAUUUUGAAAUUGAGGUAGUAAUUUUAAAAUAACAAUUAUAAUGAGGAACAACUGGCAAUUCUAUUUUAAAAAAAUUAUUAGCCAGGCUCAAAAUUUCAUCCUCAGUUUGGUCAUGAAGUUCAGGCUUGGAGCAAAACGAGAUUAAAAAUAAAUAGCAGAUGGGAGAAAAUUAUAUGACUGUUAAUCUAAAUGUUUAGCAUGUUGGACCCAAGCAGUGAUUCUCAACUUAGAUCCUGAACCAGAGAACUCACAGAAACAAGCCUUACACCAAGUAACUAAUUAGCCAGUUACAUAAACAACUCAUCAGUUAACUAACCAACUAAUUAAUGAUAUGGAUCUCUUUUGACUGAAUUGACUCAAGUUUUCUCCCAAUUAAUAACUAGUCAAUUGAUGAGUAAAAUAACCACAUUUUAUAAAGUUGGCCUCUUUGUUUAGUUUGUUUAUGCAUGAAGCGUGCAUGA
RNAcentral lists this long non-coding RNA (1214 nucleotides) under Homo sapiens (human). Its description in RNAcentral is "HSALNT0268923". The record is from RNAcentral. Lineage: Eukaryota; Metazoa; Chordata; Mammalia; Primates; Hominidae.